CGAGGCUCUUGGAGAUCCUAAUGGAUCUAGUGGCCGUUUGGUCCCACUUCCGGUUUCUUCAUUAGAAGGCUUGGAGGAAGAGCACCUUGUCUUUGGUGAUAUUGAUGAUGGUUACGACACUGUAGGCAGAUACACGGAGUCCACUUCUUCAGAUUAUAAGAAAAAAGAAGAUUACCCCCCUGCAUCUUCAAGCUCUCUUGAUAUCAACGACUACCGAGUACCGAACUAUGAAUCUUGUCCUACUCUGGCCAAGUCCAUCCAAAGUGAUCUGCCGAUUGUUGCAGAUGGAAGAAAACUCAGAACUGUAUUAAGCAAUGUUGACAUUCCUGCCAUAGUUCAGGGUAAUGAAGUUAUGCGGAUGGGCAGAUCUUUACCCAAUAUGUGGUCUCAAAAAAAUGUUUGUCCUUCUAAUCCUGAGGAUUUACAUUCAUCAAUUGUACUACAGACAACAGAAGUUGCUGAGUUCACGGAGGAGGUGAAAAAUAUUUCAGCCACCCCAGAAAUUGAAAGAGAUCCUAGACCCAUUAAUUCAUUGGGUAGUAGUAGCAGCUGGAGAUCAUGGUCUUUUGCUUUCAAGAGAUCAAGAAGCAUGAAAAAUUCUGGCGUGUCCAUGGAUGAAGAUGUAAAUACUGCUAAGGAUAUUUCAAAAAACACAGGUGGUGAUAGAGAAGAAGAUGUGCCAAGGCCAAAGAUUCCUAAGAAGAAAAUAAUGGUAAACACUCCAGAACCUGAACAGCUGGCUACUUUGAAUCUGAAGGAGGGAAAGAACAUAGUUGUUUUCACAUUCUCGACUGCAAUGCUGGGGAAACAGCAGGUUGAUGCAUGUAUAUAUUUGUGGAGAUGGGACUCAAAAGUUGUAAUAUCUGAUGUUGAUGGAACAAUUACAAGAUCUGAUGUUCUAG
RNAcentral lists this unclassified non-coding RNA (902 nucleotides) under Hevea brasiliensis (rubber tree). The record is from RNAcentral. Lineage: Eukaryota; Viridiplantae; Streptophyta; Magnoliopsida; Malpighiales; Euphorbiaceae.